This is a long non-coding RNA of Bos taurus (domestic cattle), 1493 nucleotides long. The record is from Ensembl. Lineage: Eukaryota; Metazoa; Chordata; Mammalia; Artiodactyla; Bovidae.
AAAAAAGCAGAGACAUUACUUUGCCGACAAAGGUCCAUCUAGUCAAGGCUAUGGUUUUUCCAGUAGUCAUGUAUGGAUGUGAGAAUUGGACCAUAAAGAAGGCUGAACACUGAAGAAUUGAUGCUUUUGAACUAUGGUGUCAGAGAAGACUCUUGAGAGUCCCUUGGACAGCAAGGAGAUCAAACCAGUCCAUCCUAAAGGAAAUCAACCGUGAAUAUUCAUUGGAAGGACUGAUGCUGAAGCUGAAGCUCCAUUCCUUUGGCCACCUGAUGUGAAGAGCCGACUCCUUGGAAAAAGAUCUUGAUGCUGGGAAAGACUGAGAGCAGGAGAAGGAGGCAACAGAGGAUGAGAUGGUUGGAUGGCAUCACCGACUCAAUGGUCAUGAGUCUGAGCAAAUUCCACAAGAUGGUGAAGAGCAGGGAAGCCUGGAGUGCUGCAGUCUAUGGGGUUGCAAAGAGUUGGACAUGAUUUAGCGACUGAAAAUCAAAAUGUGAAAGGGAGACGGUAUGACUCUGGAGUACUGAAGACAGAAGCAUCAAGGAGACGCGUCCCAGAGUUCCAGGUGGUCCACCUGCUGUUCACUCCUUCAACACUUCUGUUCACUGUCCUAUCAGUGCCCGGAGAGGAAGCUCCUCCUACCUUCCAUGGAAGAUGCUUGUUCUCCCGCUUAGAGAAUUAGUGGCCAUACUUCCCUCUUGUUUAGAGCUUAAAACUUCAACCUUGUACCCAAAAGCUAAAACUGAGAAAAGAGGUGUUUUUUUUUUUUAUUAUUAUUGUUUUAAGUGAAGGAUUUGGAAGAUGGUAAUUUAAGUCACAAUGAAGAUAAAAAGCAGUUUCCUGCCCACCACUGCUCACCCUCAGUCCUUUUUCCUCUUCCUACUGCCCUAUUCUCUGAAAAAUGCAGCCUGAGAAAAUAUGACCCUGGGGAAUACUGGAUGUGAGAAAGCUGUGUAGCCUGAGCUGAAAAGCAAUUAACUGUCCCUGAGCAGUCUCCGAGCAGGCAGAGGCGCGUCCCCGAGGCAGGAAGACAUCACCAUGAUUUAGGUCUGUGUUGGUUGGUUUGCUGACAGCAUCCUGUGUGUCCCGAGGCCCCAUAAGAAAUGGCUGGUGAAGACUGAGGUCACCGCUUCGCCCAGCUGGACUAUAUCUUUGCAGUGACCUAAGGGUCAGUGAGUAAGGAAGAGAAGGCCGAGGCCAGCGAUGACCUUGAAUGUGUAUCCAGCUGUGAGCUGUUGCUCAGGCUUCCAAAUGGUCAAUGGAGGUGUUUUGGCAAUUCCCAGGACCACCAAAGUUGAUGUAGAUUUGCAUUGUGUGGAGAGGCAGAGGAUGAGGAGGUGUGAACGAAUCCAGGGGAGGUCACCCUGUCACUGCUGGAGGAACACCUCAUUUCCAGGUCCUCCGCACGAGCCCGACUGGGAAAUUAACCAAGCAGGGACUGGUCGGACACUUCCUUCCUUUCCUCAUUGACGCUCCAGGCCCAGCGAUUGUUCCCC